AGAGUUUGAUCAUGGCUCAGAGUGAACGCUGGCGGCAGGCCUAAUACAUGCAAGUCGAACGGCAGCACAGCAGAGCUUGCUCUGUGGGUGGCGAGUGGCGGACGGGUGAGGGAAUACGUGGGAAUCUGCCCAGUCGUGGGGGAUAACGUAGGGAAACUUACGCUAAUACCGCAUGCGCCCUUCGGGGGAAAGCCGGGGACCUUCGGGCCUGGCGCGAUUGGAUGAGCCCACGUCGGAUUAGCUAGUUGGCGGGGUAAAGGCCCACCAAGGCGACGAUCCGUAGCUGGUCUGAGAGGAUGAUCAGCCACACUGGAACUGAGACACGGUCCAGACUCCUACGGGAGGCAGCAGUAGGGAAUAUUGGACAAUGGGCGCAAGCCUGAUCCAGCCAUGCCGCGUGAGUGAAGAAGGCCCUCGGGUUGUAAAGCUCUUUUGUCCGGAAAGAAAAGCGCCGGGUUAAUACCCUGGUGUCCUGACGGUACCGGAAGAAUAAGCACCGGCUAACUUCGUG
This 511-nucleotide ribosomal RNA is filed under the name uncultured bacterium. Its description in RNAcentral is "bacterial SSU rRNA". It matches the Rfam family "Bacterial small subunit ribosomal RNA", at positions 8 to 507 of the family's 1533-position model. The record is from RNAcentral.